Molecule: long non-coding RNA, 301 nt
Organism: Leopardus geoffroyi (Geoffroy's cat)
Lineage: Eukaryota; Metazoa; Chordata; Mammalia; Carnivora; Felidae
Exons: 2
Source: RefSeq, a predicted model, not a curated record
CAGACUGAGUGCGCUGAAUAUUGGUGACCACGAGUGGUAUCUUUAGCGCUGCUUACUGAGUAUUUCUAAUUCUGUCAUUCCCAAUUACAUGAGAGAAUUACACUUCCUUGUUCCCUUUUGGAUGGGUGGGACAUGUGACUAGACCUGGCCAAUGAGUUAUAAGAAGAAAUGUCAUCUUUUACUUCCAGAAGAAAACUCUCUUCCUCCCUUCAGAAAAGCCCUGUGGAACCUACCUGCUCUAAUGAAUAUACAGAGCUGCUUUUACAACUUUAAUUACUAAAAAAGAAAAGAUUCAACUCAA